GACGAACGCUGGCGGCGUGCUUAACACAUGCAAGUCGAACGAAGAGCGAUGGAAGCUUGCUUCUAUCAAUCUUAGUGGCGAACGGGUGAGUAACGCGUAAUCAACCUGCCCUUCAGAGGGGGACAACAGUUGGAAACGACUGCUAAUACCGCAUACGAUCUAAUCUCGGCAUCGAGGAUAGAUGAAAGGUGGCCUCUACAUGUAAGCUAUCACUGAAGGAGGGGAUUGCGUCUGAUUAGCUAGUUGGAGGGGUAACGGCCCACCAAGGCGAUGAUCAGUAGCCGGUCUGAGAGGAUGAACGGCCACAUUGGGACUGAGACACGGCCCAGACUCCUACGGGAGGCAGCAGUGGGGAAUCUUCCGCAAUGGACGAAAGUCUGACGGAGCAACGCCGCGUGAGUGAUGACGGCCUUCGGGUUGUAAAGCUCUGUUAAUCGGGACGAAAGGCCUUCUUGCGAAUAGUGAGAAGGAUUGACG
This 477-nucleotide ribosomal RNA is filed under the name Veillonella parvula. RNAcentral's name for it is "bacterial SSU rRNA". It matches the Rfam family "Bacterial small subunit ribosomal RNA", at positions 28 to 474 of the family's 1533-position model. Lineage: Bacteria; Bacillati; Bacillota; Negativicutes; Veillonellales; Veillonellaceae. The record is from RNAcentral.